This 599-nucleotide ribosomal RNA is filed under the name uncultured Sedimentibacter sp. RNAcentral describes it as "bacterial SSU rRNA". It matches the Rfam family "Bacterial small subunit ribosomal RNA", at positions 8 to 621 of the family's 1533-position model. The record is from RNAcentral. Lineage: Bacteria; Bacillati; Bacillota; Tissierellia.
AGAGUUUGAUCAUGGUUCAGGACGAACGCUGGCGGUGUGCCUAACACAUGCAAGUCGAACGAAGUAUGUUUUUCGGAAUGUAUUUAGUGGCGGACGGGUGAGUAACGCGUGAAUAAUCUGCCCUGUACAAAGGAAUAGCCUCGGGAAACUGGGAUUAAAACCGUAUAACACUUUUGAGCCGCAUGGCUUAGAAGUCAAAUUGAUUAAGAGGUAUGGGAUGAGUUCGCGUCUGAUUAGCUAGUUGGUAAGGUAAAGGCUUACCAAGGCGACGAUCAGUAGCCGGCCUGAGAGGGUGAUCGGCCACACUGGAACUGAGACACGGUCCAGACUCCUACGGGAGGCAGCAGUGGGGAAUAUUGCACAAUGGAGGAAACUCUGAUGCAGCGACGCCGCGUGAGUGAAGAAGGUCUUCGGAUCGUAAAACUCUGUCCUUGGUGAAGAAAGAAAUGACGGGUAGCCAAGGAGGAAGCCCCGGCUAACUACGUGCCAGCAGCCGCGGUAAUACGUAGGGGCGAGCGUUGUCCGGAUUUACUGGGCGUAAAGGGUGAGUAGGCGGUAAUAUGUGUCAGGUGUUAAAGGCUAUGGCUUAACCAUAGUUA